RNAcentral lists this ribosomal RNA (780 nucleotides) under Cimex hemipterus. RNAcentral describes it as "SSU rRNA". It matches the Rfam family "Eukaryotic small subunit ribosomal RNA", at positions 434 to 1158 of the family's 1831-position model. The record is from RNAcentral. Lineage: Eukaryota; Metazoa; Arthropoda; Insecta; Hemiptera; Cimicidae.
ACGCAAAUUACCCACUCCCGGAACGGGGAGGUAGUGACAAGAUAUGAGGCCUCGUAAUCGGAAUGAGUACACUCUAAAUCCUUUAACAAAAAUCUAUUGGAGGGCAAGUCUGGUGCCAGCAGCCGCGGUAAUUCCAGCUCCAAUAGCGUAUAUUAAAGUUGUUGCGGUUAAAAAGCUCGUAGUUGGUUCUGCGUCCCGCGCUGUCGGUACACCGUUUGUCGGUGACACUGGCAUGACGCGGGAUGUCCUGUCGGUGGCGGCGGAGACCAUAUCGUCGUCGGAUAACACCGCGGCGUGUUGGCCUUCUGUCGCCGGCUAUAUCCUACCGCGGUGCUCUUCACUGAGUGUCGAGGUAGGCCGACACGUUUACUUUGAACAAAUUAGAGUGCUUAAAGCAGGCAAAAAUCUCUGCCAGAAUAGUGGUGCAUGGAAUAAUGGAACAGGACCUUGGUUCUAUUCUGUUGGUCUCCGGAACACAAGGUAAUGAUCAAUGUGGACAGGCGGGGGCAUUCGUAUUGCGGCGUUAGAGGUGAAAUUCUUGGAUCGUCGCAAGACGCACUAGAGCGAAAGCAAUUGCCAAGUAUGUCUUAAUUGAUCAAGAACGAAAGUUAGAGGUUCGAAGGCGAUCAGAUACCGCCCUAGUUCUAACCAUAAACGAUGCCAGCCAGCGAUCCGCCGAUGUUCCUUUGAUGACUCGGCGGGGAGCUUUCCCCGGGAAACCAAAGCUUUUGGGUUCCGGGGGAAGUAUGGUUGCAAAGCUGAAACUUAAAGGAAUUGACG